UGGAGGUCGGAGGAGAGCUUUUAGGAGUCCUUCCAUCUGGGGUUGCAGGACCUUCGGGCCCCAGGUUUCAGAACACCUUCAGCGGCUGAGCCGUCUGGCUGUCCUAACUAAGGUGCUGGGGAUAGACACCAGGGCCUCACUCUACACACCCAGCCUGGACCAUCACGCCUGUGGAGAGACGAUUGUCUGCAGAGUUCCCCUCUGAGCAGUGGUGGUACACCUUUAAUCCAGGAGGCAGAGGCAGGUGGAUCUCUACGAGUUUGAGGCCAGCCUGGUCUAAAAAG
Molecule: long non-coding RNA, 284 nt
Organism: Meriones unguiculatus (Mongolian gerbil)
Lineage: Eukaryota; Metazoa; Chordata; Mammalia; Rodentia; Muridae
Exons: 3
Source: RefSeq, a predicted model, not a curated record